GACGAACGCUGGCGGCGUGCCUAAUACAUGCAAGUAGAACGCAGUUGCGAACAGGUGAGUAACGCGUAGGUAACUGCCUCAUAGCGGGGGAUAACUAUUGGAAACGAUAGCUAAUACCGCAUACUGUGAGAUGGACCUGCGUUGUAUUAGCUAGUUGGUGAGGUAAAGGCUCACCAAGGCGACGAUACAUACCCGACCUGUGAGGGUGUACGGCCACACUGUGACCGGGUAACGGCCCAAGCUCCCAAGGGGAGCAGGAGUAGGGAAUCAGCGGAAAUGGACGGAAGUCUGGACGAGCCAAGCCGCGUGAGUGAAGGAGGUUUUCGGGUCGUAAAGCUAUGUUGUUAGAGAAGCGGUAACUAAACAGAAAGGGACGGCUAACUACGUGCCAGCAGCCGCGGUAAUAC
This 407-nucleotide ribosomal RNA is filed under the name uncultured bacterium. RNAcentral's name for it is "partial 16S ribosomal RNA". It matches the Rfam family "Bacterial small subunit ribosomal RNA", at positions 28 to 526 of the family's 1533-position model. The record is from RNAcentral.